Molecule: transfer RNA, 88 nt
Filed under: Candidatus Omnitrophota bacterium
Lineage: Bacteria; Pseudomonadati; Candidatus Omnitrophota
Description: Candidatus Omnitrophica bacterium tRNA-Ser
Rfam family: tRNA
About the family: Transfer RNA (tRNA) molecules are approximately 80 nucleotides in length. Their secondary structure includes four short double-helical elements and three loops (D, anti-codon, and T loops). Further hydrogen bonds mediate the characteristic L-shaped molecular structure. tRNAs have two regions of fundamental functional importance: the anti-codon, which is responsible for specific mRNA codon recognition, and the 3' end, to which the tRNAs corresponding amino acid is attached (by aminoacyl-tRNA synthetases). tRNAs cope with the degeneracy of the genetic code in two manners: having more than one tRNA (with a specific anti-codon) for a particular amino acid; and 'wobble' base-pairing, i.e. permitting non-standard base-pairing at the 3rd anti-codon position.
Source: RNAcentral
GGAAGGAUGCCAGAGCGGUUGAAUGGGGCGGUCUCGAAAACCGUUAUCCCGCAAGGGAUCGCAGGUUCGAAUCCUGCUCCUUCCGCCA